AGAGUUUGAUCCUGGCUCAGGACGAACGCUGGCGGCGUGCUUAACACAUGCAAGUGGUGCGACGAACCAGGGCUUGCCCUGGGGCAAAGCCGCGAACGGGUGAGUAACACGUGAGUAACCUGCCCCGAUGACCGGGACAACCCGAGGAAACUCGGGCUAAUACCGGAUGUGGCGAACAGGCGUAAGCCAGUUCGCUAAAGGAAGCUUCGGCCUCCGCAUUGGGAGGGGCUCGCGGCCCAUUAGCUUGUUGGUGGGGUAACGGCCUACCAAGGCUGCGAUGGGUAGCUGGUCUGAGAGGACGAUCAGCCACACUGGGACUGAGACACGGCCCAGACUCCUACGGGAGGCAGCAGUGGGGAAUCUUGCGCAAUGCGCGAAAGCGUGACGCAGCAACGCCGCGUGGGGGAAGACGGCCUUCGGGUUGUAAACCCCUUUUCAGGAGGGACGAAGGUUCACCGGUGAAUAGCCGUGUGGAUUGACGGUACCUCCAGAAGAAGCUCCGGCUAACUACGUGCCAGCAGCCGCGGUAAUACGUAGGGGGCAAGCGUUGUCCGGAAUCAUUGGGCGUAAAGCGCGCGUAGGCGGCCCUGUAAGUCCGUUGUGAAAGUCAAAGGCUCAACCUUUGAAUGCCGAUGGAUACUGCAGGGCUAGAGUCCGGAAGAGGCGAGUGGAAUUCCUGGUGUAGCGGUGGAAUGCGCAGAUAUCAGGAGGAACACCAAUAGCGAAGGCAGCUCGCUGGGACGGUACUGACGCUAAGGCGCGAAAGCGUGGGGAGCGAACAGGAUUAGAUACCCUAGUAGUCC
Molecule: ribosomal RNA, 803 nt
Filed under: uncultured bacterium
Lineage: Bacteria
Description: bacterial SSU rRNA
Rfam family: Bacterial small subunit ribosomal RNA
Source: RNAcentral